RNAcentral lists this ribosomal RNA (254 nucleotides) under uncultured Synergistaceae bacterium. RNAcentral describes it as "partial 16S ribosomal RNA". It matches the Rfam family "Bacterial small subunit ribosomal RNA", at positions 796 to 1041 of the family's 1533-position model. Lineage: Bacteria; Thermotogati; Synergistota; Synergistia; Synergistales; Synergistaceae. The record is from RNAcentral.
CUAGCCGUAAACGAUGGAUACUAGGUGUGGGUGUCGCAGGGCAUCCGUGCCGCAGCUAACGCGUUAAGUAUCCCGCCUGGGGACUACGGUCGCAAGACUGAAACUCAAAGGAAUUGACGGGGGCCCGCACAAGCGGUGGAGCACGUGGUUUAAUUCGAUGCAAACCGAAGAACCUUACCUGGGCUUGACAUGCAGAUAGUAGAGAAGUGAAAGCGGACCGACCUUGCAGUAAUGUAAGGAGUCUGCACAGGUGC